AGCGAAAGCACAGCUUGCAUGUUUUGAAAUCACACUGUAGGUGCUUUUCUCUUCAUCUUCACAGUAAAUACAUGGAGAAGACAGCCUAGGUUGCAGCAAGCAAAUUUAUAUUGGACCAAAGAGAGAAAAAUAUGCACAUAUGCUAGCAUUGGCUUAACACGCAGAGGCCCAGUCUUUUCUAAACUCUUCAUGGGAAGAAGCCAACUCUGCAGCUUUGCCUCCCACAGGUAUUACAGUAACUUCCUAAUUUCCUCUCCUGCCUCUACCAUACUCUCUUUUGU
RNAcentral lists this long non-coding RNA (281 nucleotides) under Mustela putorius furo (domestic ferret). RNAcentral describes it as "lncRNA (ENSMPUG00000026617.1)". Lineage: Eukaryota; Metazoa; Chordata; Mammalia; Carnivora; Mustelidae. The record is from RNAcentral.